Molecule: long non-coding RNA, 9919 nt
Organism: Pseudopipra pipra
Lineage: Eukaryota; Metazoa; Chordata; Aves; Passeriformes; Pipridae
Exons: 3
Source: RefSeq, a predicted model, not a curated record
GCAAAAAACUCCAACCUCCCCACGAGAGUCUUCCCUGCAAAAACCACAGCAGCAGUUUCUGUCUCGGCUGCUACAAUCCCACGGAUGGUAACACCACUCCAGGCAAAGUUUUGGCUUAAAAGCCUCGAUGAUGAUACUUUGCAGGGAGUUAUUUGGCUUGUACCUUUGUGUUUCCAUCUCCCUCCGCUGAUCUUGCUGUAACAACCCCCCCAAACUUGCUGCUUGUCAGGUCUUGUUUUAGCUACAACCCUCCUCCUUCCCCUGCUUUUAAUGUGACAUCCCAGCACCCGGCCUGUCACUUGGCUAUUGCCUCUAUCACACACUCAUACAUACGAGCCUCAGGUCUAAUUAAUGUAAUAAAAUGUGUAAAAGCACUAAAUCUGCUCAGAUGUGGCAAUUUUAUCACUUCUAUACGCUGUCACAGCACAAGUAAAACUGACAGCAAAGAAUAAAACAGUUAUGUCUCUGGCAUUUUUUACUACUUUUAAUAUGCUCUCUUUUUUUUUCCUCUUUGUUACUGGAAAUUUAAAUUAUAAUGGUAUGCUUCACUUAAAGAAAGUAUCCAUAGCAACAGGAACAUCUAAAUUAUUGCAGGCUGAUCACUUCUCUCCUGGAGUCACAUCACAUGCCUUUCAAAGACAGUCCCAGAGGUGCAGGAUUUUAAUAGAAUUUUUUUUUUAACCUUUUUUGCAAACAAACAAGCGUAUACACAGCACUUUCCCCAUCAGUACACUACCUACAGACAGAUCUAAACCGAGUCACUGCCAGCACAUUUGGCUGCCCAGAGAGGGGAGUUUCAGGCUUGCUCUUUCUGAGUCUGUGCCUCCUGGUCAUCCCAUGUGAAACAAGAAUUUCCAUGGAGUUCAGCUGAUGUAAAUUCUGUUGGAUCAGGGGAAAGCAGGAGGGGAGGGGGAGGAUCACUGAGCCUGCAGCAUCAGGAACCUGCUGGUUGGAUUCCAAGCUGGCCUCAGUCUUAUUUGUAGUUUAUCCUUUCCAAAUUCCCAGGUGACAGGACAAGGGGGAAGGACUUCAAACUGAAAGAGAGUAGCCUGAGAUUAAAUAUUAGAAAUAAAUUCUUUAUUGUGAGGGUGGGGAGGCCCUGGCACAGGUUGCCCAGAGAAGCUGUGGCUGCCCCUGGAUCCCUGGAAGUGUCCAAGGCCAGGUUGGAUGGGGCUUGGAGCAACCUGGGCUAGUGGAAGGUGUCCCUGCCCAUGGCAGGGGGGGUGAAACUGGGUGACCUUUAACUUCCCUUCCAACCCAAACCUGUCUGGGAUUCUGUGAUCCCUCAGAAAAUAACUUCAGCAGCCGCUCAGCAUUUAAAAGGCAAUGGGUGGGAAAACACCCAGGUAUUUUGCCCCCCCCAUCCCCACAUCUGAGCCUCCUCGGUGACUUUUGGGCUGAGGCAGCUACAGCUUUCUACUCUUGAAAAAUUCCAUCGUUUUAAUCAUGGAAAAAGCCUGAGCAAUGCACACACAGAGCUGUCAAAUGUGAGAAACAAACAUUCUGGGAGAAACAGAAAGGCUGGUUUUGUUUUUUUUUUAAUUCCAAUCUCAAUUAUAGGAAUCAAAUGCGUCAUCUGGAUCAAUAGUAAGUUGAAAUUGCUCAGCCAGAAAGAUUUUAAAUAUAAAAAAGCUGCAGCUGAGAGCCUUCCUUUGAGCUCAUGUAUUAUUAUAACUGAAAUUAUGAUAGUGCACCAUGUUUACAGGCUCCCUUGGAAAGCUCAGGUUAAGAACAAAGGUUUAAUCAAUGUACCCGUACGUAGUAACAGGAUCUAAAACCCAGCCCGUGUGUACUGGGAUCUUAUCAUGGCCAGGAGCAGCAGGGAUUUGCUUUUAAUGUCCUUUGAUUCCCACUGCCAUGUGGUACAUUCCCAGGUCAUCAUUCCCUGCAUUUUCCCCCAGAGGUGGCUGCGAUUCAAGCAGGAUGUGUUUGCAGAGAACAUGCAAAUUAAACUGAAACGAGGCAACCUUUGAAAAUACAAAAUAUUACUGAUCACUUAACCUUUGUAGGAUAAGAGCUGACGUGCAGACAAGUGGCUGGGCUUCAUCCAGCCCAAGGGAAAAUGUUAAAAACCAGGAAAGUGUGUCAGAGUUCUUUGGCUGGUUCGGUUUGUAAGGAAGGGUCGGGGAAGCUCCGUGUCCGUGGAGAAAGAGGGGCUCCCAAGGAAAGAGGCUGCAGGUUUUGGGCAUGGUGGCAUCAGAGAGACACCAGCAGAGGCAGUGACAGGAACCAGGUGCAUGGUCUGCCAGGGACUUUCAGAUCAACAUGUGAGUGAAAAAAAGAGUCAGAGUGAGAGAAGGUGGGUGGUUAAAGAGGGCUGAGCAUGAUGCAAAAAAUCUGUUGGACCGGCAGAUCCAGCUCACAUUUGAAAAUCACCCCCUUUAUGGCUCCCAUGAAAUCACCUUUUAAUAAAGAGGCUAUAAAAGGGACCUGUAAUUUCGUGGUUGGUGCAUGAGCCGGAAGAUGAGCCAGCUGACUUUCACAGAGCUUUAUUACAGCUGUGGUCCAGCUGGAGUCAGGGAUAUUUACUGUGUGUGAGCACAGAGAUGAUGCAGAAAUCCACAGCACUGACCUUUGGUGCCAGGCAGUGAGUCAAAGCCGUCCCUGCCCGGCCCCAGCUGCCUCCCAGCUGUUCAGCAUCAGGUCAGGCAGGAAGGUUUCCCCAUCCACAGGUGGAGCCCUUUGACUCACAGCUUCCCCACAUCCACCUUCUCACCUCUCAGAGUAAUUAAAUAAAUCCCAGAAGCCACAGCCCGAGGUCCUUGGGAGGAUCUGUCACCCAGUGGUAUGUCUGAGGAGGGGGAUGGGGCUGUGCUGCUCUGCUUGGGGUUUGCUUCUUAAAUCGGGCCAGAUUUGAUCUUCAGCAUUUUUAUUUGAGGCUUUGAUGGAUCCAUGAGUGUUUUGGGGCUGGGCAGUUGCUCAGAACUCAUCAGCAAGAUGGGAUUGUGCCUGAAAAGAGUCAGUGCUGGGCAGGCAGGAUUUUUGCUUUUAGGGGUGACAAGAGGGUUUGUUUUUCACGUGGGUUAAAGUACUGUGAUCCAGCAGACGGCUGGUGUUGUAUAUCAAGAUUAAAUUCUGGGGAAAGUCUGUCAGAAUCUGGGUCACUUGCUCCUUUGUGGUCUCCCAUUUAUAUAUCAAGCUGACCCGACUCACGUCUGCAGACUGUGAUGGGAGAACUGGGAGAGCUUCUGGUGAAGUUAUUUAAGGGCUUCAGACAGGUACGAGCACACAAGUCAUUUCACACCCCUGACAGGAGAAGCUCGGCUGCUGUGCUGGCUGUACUUCAUCGGUGCUUCCCCCUGCCCUUGAUGCUUUGUGCCUUUCCAGUUCUGCUUUUUAUGCCCUCAAAACGAGAGUGUGGUCUCUUGAGGCCGGGAUGAGACAGAGCCAGCACAGGCUGGAGUGGAUCUUCCCAGCUACAAGUUCCCUCGUCUCGUUAACCACGUUGCAUAAGGAGGUGCAACAGUGCUGAGCUCAAAAUUACCUCUCUUCCUUUCCUGCCUGACACAGCACCAGGGAGAGAGAACUGCAAACAAGUUUAAAGUAUUGCUUCCUCAGAGCAAAAUUUGGGAGAUGAGAGGCUUGGGUUUCGGCUGGCUGACCGAAAGCCCCCGGGGAGCUCGGUAUGCUGGUGCCUGUGACUGCCACAGCCGUGUGAUUCCAGCUCCAGGAUGGCCCAGGGCACCCACCCGCCUGCUUUGCAACAAGCUGUGAUUUAUGGGAUGCCUGUGGAGUGGCUGGUCCCUGUGUGAUAACGAAGGGGAGUCUGUGAUGUCCCUGCUCUGAGAGCAGGGAGCAGACUCAUCCACCCCGGGGGUCCCCUGUGUGUCCCCACACCACCUCUGCACCCCAGCUGACAAUGUGAUCCCACUUUCCAGCCCUUCCCUGGGCCGUGAUCAGCAGGUGGGGUCCGAUGGCUGCAAGCUGAUCUCACUUUAACCUGGAGGGAUGCAGGUGUGGUCCUGCUCUUGGAUUGUCACUGCUUCUCCCCUCCUGCUGCCCCUGCCAGCUUCGGUUAAAUAUCAUUGAAUCCAUCUCUUCCACGAGAUUAACUCACUCUCAGACCCUCAGGAUGAACCACACGCUGGGCUGGGACUGAUGGAGGCCAGAAUCUGGGAAACAUUCAGUCUGGAGCAAGGUGAGCUGAAUCCUAACCUGCUUCGUGCCUCACGCUGUGGCUGCAGAGCUUGAAGCAGGGAGUGAUAAAGCCUCCUUUAAAUGGUGAUUUAAAGGCUGGCUGCCCUGAUGAGCUUGAGCUUUAUCUGAUUUGGGACCUACUAUGGCCAUCUCAGGGAGGUGCUGGAGUGAUAACAUAAUGCAAUAUCUGGAAAGGUGGUUUCUGGCUGUGCAGUGAGAAUAAAUGCAGCAGAUUGUAACCAGGGAGAAAACCAUUAUCAAUAUCUUCUCUGGUUUUAUACACAUGGCUCAGAGAUGUCACUUAAUAACUUCUGUGCUGGACUCCAAACUGACGCCUGAGUUACCAGAUCUCUUUAAAACCACACACAGGCUUCCAAGUUGUUUGAAAAAAAAAAAAAUUUGUUAGAUCUGAAAGGCCUUUCCAGCCCUGGUACCAUAACUGUAUUCCCUCUCCUCCAGAGUUUGAUCCACCAGGUGCAAAAAUCCUUUCAAAGAGCAAGAAGGUGGACAGGUACCUCAAGAGAAGAGACCCUUCCAUGUAACAGGUGUUUUGCCAUCAACCAUUUGAGCAUCUGUCCCUGAAUUUUUCCUCCUCUCCAGGACAACUCUCAGCAAUGGGUGUUUGGGGGCUGAAGUUUCCCCUCCUUUAUCUCUCUAAGCUUCUGAUGACAACCCUGGGAUUUUCCAGGAUGAAAUGGAAAGAGCCCUGAGCAAGUUUGGGGGGAAAUCUCUGGAAGCAGGCCAUUAGCAAAGCAUUAAAGGCUGAGCUGGGUUUGCCUUUGGCCAAGUACACACAGGCUUCCCUGGCUCCUGCAGGCUUCCCAGCCUGGAUUUGAGAUGCUCCUGGAUGUUGCUGCUCCAUCCAUCCUGCAGGUGAGUCCCAUGUCUUCCCUCCUCCACCCCACACAGCCCAGGGGCCAUCACGGGCUCAGUGACUCGUGCCGGGGUGAUGGCUGGAAAAACCCCCUGACCAAUUGAGGCAGACACAAAGCAACAGCCUUCCAAAAUCCACCAGGUGACAUUCCCUACCAACCAGUGAGAAAAUGAGCAAUUCCAGCCUCCCUACAGUGCUAACUACUCCUACAGAGGUGCUUGGACAGGCCACGCUGAUUAACUCCAUGUCCCCUACAGCAUUCCUGGGCCUGUGCUCCCAGGAAGCUCAGCUUGUCCCAAGUGUCUCUGGCUUCCAAGAGCCCCAAAACCUGGGAGAAUAUCAGCAGCAUGAAGUGAUGGCAUUGCAGCAACCCAUCAGCAAGGCUGAUGUCCCCACAGGUCAUGUCUUCCACAUCUUAACCAAGAAACCUCUGGGGUUUUUUUCCUUUUUGAAGCUGAGACAGGAGGAUGCCACCCUGAGACAAUAAUUUCCUUACCUCUCCCUUCCCCUGUAACUACUUGAUUUCCCCCUCCCUCGCAUUUCUGAUACCUGGCAGGUAGUUUUAUAAUCCCAUAAGUGUUAUUUUUCUUCAGCUCUCAUUUUCUGUUUUGCAGCCUGGCCACCUGGUCAGAGCCUUUUCCAUCUGUAUGCAGCGUGCACGGCUGGAGCAGCCCACAGGAGACCAGGAUUAAAAACUGUGAGCUAACACAGCAGCUCGAGGCUCAGCAACACAAAUAACUCCUUUCCCAUUUUUUUUUGGGCACUUCAGCCAGGCAGAGUGUCACCCUGACAUGGAGGAGGGGGAGAAGGCACCACUCUAUACAGGGUUUGUUGGGGUCCUUGAAGAGGAACUGCUUAUCCUGGAUGAGGAUCCAAGGAAGAUUUUUCUUCUUUCACAUGGAUUAGGCAUUGCCCUCUGUGCAAGAUUAAGGUAAGAAAAGGGAAGCUGAAAUAUAGUUGGAUCUAUGGGUCCAGCUAUGAGAUUUGUCAUUCCAUGGGACCUCUUCCACAACAGAUGGGGAAUGACGAGGUGGUGAGUCUGGGCUGGGACCACCCGGAGACACCAGCAAGGAAAAGCAUUUUCCUGUUUCACAGGGCUUCAGCACCAAGAAAUUGUUUUAUUUUAUACUGAUCCAGGAAAAAUUGAGAGGCCUCUGAGGACAUUUCUGAAGUCAGCAGCAACCUGGAGGAUGAAACCUUCUUCUCCCAGCACAACAGGGGGGCUGUGCUGGUCAUCUGGCACCAGCAAAGCCCCACAGUCAGGAUACUGGAUGAUUCUGGAAAAGGGAGCUCCUCUGUCAGGAGAGUGCAGUGUCCUCUCGAGGGCUGGGAUGACGAGGCACCCACAGGCCAUGGCCUUGCAGAUGCCACGAGUCUGUGGACAAUGAAUGUGAUGAGCAGAAAGGCUUUUCUUCCCGUGUUCCCCACAUGGUGAUUAAUCUUCCCAGUGUUUGAAGGUAUUGGUUGUUAUUUUCUGGCUUGCCUUGAAAUUCACUGUUUAAAAAGCAGCAACAGUGGGAUAUAUUUAUAUGAUGAAAGAAGACUUUUUGUGUGUGUGAAAUAUGCGUUCCUGACAACGUUCUCAGAGCAAACCCAGCCCACCCCUUCAAGGAGAGCAGAGAUUAUCACACUGGGGGAGAGCAGGGAUAGCUGCUGGCACGUGAGGAUGCCUCUGGACUGCACAGAUGGUUGUCAAAUGAGUGGAAAUUCACCCUUUGGAGGUUAUUUUCCUUAAAAACUAAACCAGUCUUUAAUGACUGCUAGGAAGCCUGGCAGUUUCCAAAAGCAUUGGUCUGCUUGGCUCCUUCUGCAGCCGGAAAAUUCCUGUAUUUUCUCAAGUAGGGUCUCCUGGCACACUGUAAGCUGUUCUCAGUCCCCACUGAUGUCAGAUGGGUCUGUCACCUCCUGGGUUCUUCCCAAACAAUUCAGAUGUCUGCUAGGAAAUGUUGGACAGCCAGAUUUUAUCUCAAAAAAGAGGGGAGAUCUCUCUGUUCCAAACAACUCCAGAUGAAACCCUCCUAUAGACAGCAGGUAAUUCAGUCCCAGGAGGCCAUUGGGACCACCACAUCUUACACAAACUGCUGCUUGGGUUGACUCCAGAUGCUUUUUUGACUCUCAAAACAAAUAUUUAAGUUUGGUUUAAGAUUAUUGGGCUUUCUCAAUGCUUCUGUUUGUGGAAAACUGGGUUUGUUUCACCGAGUUCAUCACGGAUUCACCUGGAGUUCUGCUUUGCCUGAACUGCAUUUUCUGACAAGUCAAGUCUCGGGCUGAAAAUUAUUCUUAGACUUUUUUCCACUUGGGAUCUUAUUUCUGAAGCCAUCUAAAAUAGGCUGUUGCUCCACAUUCACAAGAGCAGAUUCACUGCAUUCCCGUGGCCCUCACCUUACUUAAGUAGGGGAAAAUGGAACACAGACAUUCUGAUGAUGCUGAUUUUAAUGGGGAAACAAUGUGCAGGCUGCUACAUUAGUCACCUGCUAUUACAGGAAAGUAAUAAACUAGAACUGUUUCUGCUCUUUUCUCCAUGCACCUUCUGCUAUGUUUCUGCUUUUGUACUAUUUUUUAGCUUGUUUUAUAUUUUCCCUGGCACAGAGGAGGUAAGAUUGCUGAGACCUUCACCAUAAUUAAGCAAGAUUCUUCCUCUGAUGAAAGCUCAUUCCUACACAAUUCUGGUUUAAGAGACACAGAACAGGUUGUUAUCUCAGAUGUGAGUGGCUUUUUUCCCUUUUUCUAAGAUAAAAUAUAAGCCUGGCUGAGGUGGUGGGGGUUAUAUUGUGUAAAUGUUUCCUGCUAGCAGAGAACCAUUGGAAUUCUCAGCGAGGCUUCCGUGCAUCCCUAAAUGUGAGUGUUAAUUCAGAUAAUUAAUAUCUCAUAUGCCUGAAUGUGGAGUUGAAGGAAAAGCACCCAAACCUGCAGAUAUGUGUGAUGUUGCCUCUGAAUUCUGAGGGUUUGGGGGGCUAAAUAUCCAUUUUUCUACACAUUAAGCUCAUUAAAAUUAUCACAUGAAAUUUGUCCUCCUGCACAGCACAAACUGAAUUAAAUCAGGGCAAAAUCCACUACUGGUUUAUCCGUUCUUGUGCCUUCCAGCCUGCAAACCUCCCCCUGGGCAGCACAGGAUGGUCACCAGAUGCUGAUGGGAUCAUUUGGAGGAGGAGGAGGAGAAAGGCUGCUCCAAGGAGCCAAGCCUUAAGCAUGUCUUUCUAUACCUUUACCCUUUCCUUUCCUUCCUUUUCUUUCCUUCUCCUGCCUUUAUCACCCACUUUAUACAUUAGUCUUCUCACACCAUGUGCAGGUUGGUAGAGGAAACUCUCUCUGUUGUCAAUAUAUCCACCCUGCACAGGUGGUAUUUCCAUCACCUGUUGGAUUAUUAGUACAGUUUAGCCUUUCAGUGUUUUAUUAGAAUAAUUCCUACGGAAACAAUCCUAGUAAUCCCUCAGCACAUGGUUUAAUCUAAGCAGUCAUGCUCCCCACUCCCUGUUCCUUAAGUAAGGAGCACACUCUCCCAGGUUAAACACCCCAGCAGCCCACGUUCAUGGAGCAGAUAACGAGGCUCUUAAUUAUCCAGGCUUCUCCACAGACUCAUGCCCUCUGCUUGUGUUUCUAAAACCUUAAAAUAAUCAAUACCAGACAGAUUUUUUCUGCCCUGAGUCAUUACAGGCCAUCAGGGACUGUUUUGCUCAUUCUCCCUGCUUGGAGAAGUUUGGGGGCUGUUGUUUGUAUAAUGGAUCAGCUGUUUUAAAUGUAUGGAUUUCCCCUUAUCUGAUCACAACUGCAGGGAGACUGACACAUCUAUGCCUGGAUAAUAUCAGACCUUGCUGCUUGCAGGUGGGGAACAGCUGCCUUGGGGCUGCACAGAGGAGGAAGAUGCCUCAGAAGCUUCGUCCUCCCCGAAACAUUCCCCACUGGGCCACGGAACCACAUUAACUCUGACCCUGCUGCCCUCACCACAGAGCCUCUCUUCCCAUCUCCCUGCUCUAUCCUUUCAUCGCUGUGAUGCCUAAAAAUCACCAGCUGGAGUGGUUCUGAGAGCCAGAGAGGGCUUUCUGGGGAAUAACUGGAGUGCUAUUCCAGCAUCACGAGACAUCCCAGCCUCUCCUGCAGCCACAACGGGAGCAUUUUCUGCAGUGAGAGCAAAAUAAACAUCAAGACUCUUUAAAAGAUAGUCUGGAGGGUUGAGUGCAAUUAUCGGGCCAAACUCCGUUGCCUUGAGUGUUAUCUAUCACUCUGUAGUUUUCUUCCUCAUAGAAAAGUGGAUAUUAGAUUCUGUUUUUCUUAUGGCCAUAAAAAAAAAAGUAAUUUUCUCUAAAUUAUUUCUUCCAGACCUGCUAAAAACAAGAAUCAUAAUGCAGCAGGACCCCCAUCUUCCCAGUAAUUACACUCUGCCUCCUAACUCCUUCAACACCAAUUUCUCAAUUUAUUUGGCCUCCGUCUGGAACCACAGUCACAGGCUGAGCUGGGCUCUGUCUUAUUAUUACAUGGACAAAAUUGUUUUUAAAAUGUAAUUAAACAUUUACCUUGAAGACAACGCUUUGUCUUCUUUAAGAAGCAUAAUAUCUUAAUUUAACCUAAUCUAGAAAACCUUCCAUUUCUGAGCUUUUACCUCCAAGACAAUGUUAUGCUAAACACAAAGCAAAACAAAAAGAUUUCCUAAUUUAACCUAAUUAAAAGAUAAGCCUCCAACUUCUCCAUUGCUGCUGUCUGAAAUGAGGAGGGAGGCGUAGCCCUUCCAUUUGCUCAGAACUGUUUUAUUAUCCCUCUGGUUUGUUCUCUGCUGUUGAUUUUUAUUAUCCUCCUUGAUGCCCCCAAAUCCUCUUAGGAAGCGGAGCCAUCUAACCUUUCCCAUCCUGGGGCCAUGUCUAAGAGGAUCAAGGGACCACCACCAGAAUAGUUGGAAGGGUUUGGUUUGGUGGU